GACGAACGCUGGCGGCGUGCUUAACACAUGCAAGUCGAACGAUGAACCAGGGCUUGCCCUGGGGAUUAGUGGCGAACGGGUGAGUAACACGUGGGCAACCUGCCCCAGACACCGGGAUAACCAUCCGAAAGGAUGGCUAAUACCGGAUAUGACCACUUUGGGCAUCCAACGGUGGUGGAAAGGAUUCUGGUCUGGGAUGGGCCCGCGGCCUAUCAGCUAGUUGGUGGGGUAAUGGCCUACCAAGGCGACGACGGGUAGCCGGCCUGAGAGGGCGACCGGCCACACUGGGACUGAGACACGGCCCAGACUCCUACGGGAGGCAGCAGUGGGGAAUAUUGCGCAAUGGGCGAAAGCCUGACGCAGCGACGCCGCGUGAGGGACGAAGGUCUUCGGAUUGUAAACCUCUUUCAGCAGGGACGAAGCGAAAGUGACUGUACCUGCAGAAGAAGCACCGGCUAACUACGUG
Molecule: ribosomal RNA, 466 nt
Filed under: uncultured bacterium
Lineage: Bacteria
Description: bacterial SSU rRNA
Rfam family: Bacterial small subunit ribosomal RNA
Source: RNAcentral